RNAcentral lists this ribosomal RNA (574 nucleotides) under uncultured bacterium. RNAcentral describes it as "partial 16S ribosomal RNA". It matches the Rfam family "Bacterial small subunit ribosomal RNA", at positions 355 to 922 of the family's 1533-position model. The record is from RNAcentral.
UGGGGAAUUUUGGACAAUGGGCGAAAGCCUGAUCCAGCAAUGCCGCGUGUGUGAAGAAGGCCUUCGGGUUGUAAAGCACUUUUGUCCGGAAAGAAAUCCUUGGCUCUAAUACAGUCGGGGGAUGACGGUACCGGAAGAAUAAGCACCGGCUAACUACGUGCCAGCAGCCGCGGUAAUACGUAGGGUGCAAGCGUUAAUCGGAAUUACUGGGCGUAAAGCGUGCGCAGGCGGUUUGCUAAGACCGAUGUGAAAUCCCCGGGCUCAACCUGGGAACUGCAUUGGUGACUGGCAGGCUAGAGUAUGGCAGAGGGGGGUAGAAUUCCACGUGUAGCAGUGAAAUGCGUAGAGAUGUGGAGGAAUACCGAUGGCGAAGGCAGCCCCCUGGGCCAAUACUGACGCUCAUGCACGAAAGCGUGGGGAGCAAACAGGAUUAGAUACCCUGGUAGUCCACGCCCUAAACGAUGUCAACUAGUUGUUGGGGAUUCAUUUCCUUAGUAACGUAGCUAACGCGUGAAGUUGACCGCCUGGGGAGUACGGUCGCAAGAUUAAAACUUAAAUGAAUUGACGGGGUCCU